AUUGAACGCUGGCGGCAUGCUUUACACAUGCAAGUCGAACGGCAGCACGGGUGCUUGCACCUGGUGGCGAGUGGCGGACGGGUGAGUAAUACAUCGGAACGUGUCCAGAAGAGGGGGAUAACGCAUCGAAAGAUGUGCUAAUACCGCAUAUGCUCUGAGGAGGAAAGUGGGGGAUCGAAAGACCUUACGCUUUUGGAGCGGCCGAUGUCUGAUUAGCUAGUUGGUGGGGUAAGGGCCUACCAAGGCGACGAUCUGUAGCGGGUCUGAGAGGAUGAUCCGCCACACUGGAACUGAGACACGGUCCAGACUCCUACGGGAGGCAGCAGUGGGGAAUUUUGGACAAUGGGCGCAAGCCUGAUCCAGCCAUGCCGCGUGAGUGAAGAAGGCC
RNAcentral lists this ribosomal RNA (388 nucleotides) under uncultured bacterium. Its description in RNAcentral is "bacterial SSU rRNA". It matches the Rfam family "Bacterial small subunit ribosomal RNA", at positions 30 to 416 of the family's 1533-position model. The record is from RNAcentral.